RNAcentral lists this ribosomal RNA (497 nucleotides) under uncultured bacterium. RNAcentral's name for it is "partial 16S ribosomal RNA". It matches the Rfam family "Bacterial small subunit ribosomal RNA", at positions 28 to 507 of the family's 1533-position model. The record is from RNAcentral.
GACGAACGCUGGCGGCGUGCCUAAUACAUGCAAGUUGAGCGCUGAAGGUUGGUACUUGUACCAACUGGAUGAGCAGCGAACGGGUGAGUAACGCGUGGGGAAUCUGCCUUUGAGCGGGGGACAACAUUUGGAAACGAAUGCUAAUACCGCAUAAAAACUUUAAACACAAGUUUUAAGUUUGAAAGAUGCAAUUGCAUCACUCAAAGAUGAUCCCGCGUUGUAUUAGCUAGUUGGUGAGGUAAAGGCUCACCAAGGCGAUGAUACAUAGCCGACCUGAGAGGGGGGUCGGCCACAUUGGGACUGGGACACGGCCCAAACUCCUGCGGGAGGCAGCAGUAGGGGAGCUUCGGCAAUGGACGAAAGUCUGACCGAGCAACGCCGCGGGAGGGAAGAAGGUUUUCGGAUCGUAAAACUCUGUUGGUAGGGAAGAACGGUGGUGAGAGUGGAAAGCUCAUCAAGUGACGGUAACUACCCAGAAAGGGACGGCUAACUACGUG